CGGGACGGGGUGGAGUAAUGUCUGGGAAACUGCCCGAUGGAGGGGGGUAACUACUGGAAACGGUAGCUAAUACCGCAUAACGUCGCAAGACCAAAGAGGGGACCUUCGGGCCUCUUGCCAUCGGAUGUGCCCAGAUGGGAUUAGCUAGUAGGUGGGGUAACGGCUCACCUAGGCGACGAUCCCUAGCUGGUCUGAGAGGAUGACCAGCCACACUGGAACUGAGACACGGUCCAG
This 234-nucleotide ribosomal RNA is filed under the name uncultured bacterium. RNAcentral describes it as "partial 16S ribosomal RNA". It matches the Rfam family "Bacterial small subunit ribosomal RNA", at positions 104 to 334 of the family's 1533-position model. The record is from RNAcentral.